AUUGAACGCUGGCGGUAUGCCUUACACAUGCAAGUCGAACGGUAACAGGUUAAGCUGACGAGUGGCGAACGGGUGAGUAAUAUAUCGGAACGUGCCCAGUCGUGGGGGAUAACGUAGCGAAAGCUACGCUAAUACCGCAUACGAUCUACGGAUGAAAGCGGGGGAUCGCAAGACCUCGCGCGAUUGGAGCGGCCGAUAUCAGAUUAGGUUGUUGGUGAGGUAAAAGCUCACCAAGCCUGCGAUCUGUAGCUGGUCUGAGAGGACGACCAGCCACACUGGAACUGAGACACGGUCCAGACUCCUACGGGAGGCAGCAGUGGGGAAUUUUGGACAAUGGACGCAAGUCUGAUCCAGCAAUGCCGCGUGCAGGACGAAGGCCUUCGGGUUGUAAACUGCUUCUGUACGGAACGAAACGGUGAGCUCUAAUACAGUUUGCUAAUGACGGUACCGUAAGAAUAAGCACCGGCUAACUACGUGCCAGCAGCCGCGGUAA
This 493-nucleotide ribosomal RNA is filed under the name uncultured bacterium. RNAcentral describes it as "partial 16S ribosomal RNA". It matches the Rfam family "Bacterial small subunit ribosomal RNA", at positions 30 to 523 of the family's 1533-position model. The record is from RNAcentral.